UCACAAUUCCCAUACAAAACAAAAGCUUGGCAGAUGAACAACAUCAUUAUUUCUUCAGGUUUGUUUUAUUAAUAAUCAAAUUGAUUUCAUUUCACACUUUGUUUUAUCAACAAGGGCAUUUAUAUUACUUGGCCAAUUGAUUGUUAGCCAACUUGAUGGAGACUUGUGCAUUUACCUCCAUAUAUCAUCAACUCCUCCUAUGUUUGAUCUCUUCUUGAUAAAUAGGUUGCUCAUCAAAAUUUUCUAAUGGCAAACCAAUGUCAGGAUAUAUAGUUAAUUAUUUAAGAGAAAGUGAAAUGCAAAUUUUAACUAAUCAAAAUAGCUUUCCUUUGUUGUUUAAAGAGUGAUUUUCUUUGUAGUUGAUUUCUUAGUUUAAUUAGUCUUUAUUAAUAUAAUAUAUUUAUUUAAAUAUAUAAUAUAUUUCUUAGUUUAGUGAUUUUCUUUUUAUUAAAACAUUUAUUAAAAUAUAUUGCCCUGUUUAAAUUACCUAGACCUCAAUAAGUUAAAUUUUGAGCUAAUUAAAUUAUAGAAAAUUAUCCAAUAAACUGUCAUGGAAUUUAAAAACUUUAUCAAUGGAAUUAGAAAGUUGUCGCAUAUUCUUUAGGAUAUAUUUAGAAAAAUUAAUAAAUUAAUCUGAUAAAUAAAAGGACAUUUGCAGUUUCUGUAUAAAUGGCUUGGAGCAUUUGCUACAACUUGAAAAAGGAAGCAUGACAAGAUUGUAUCCAAAUUUGCCUAUAACUUCAAAUUCAGUUCAGCUUCAUCAUCAAGAAAAGAAAAUCUCAGUUCAGAUUGUAGUGUUUCAAAUGCAUGCAUGCUUGCGAAGUUCGUUUGGUAAUAUAUAGCACCAAAAGUAUUUUGAAACCAAAUAUGAAACACAUGGAUCCCAUCUCUUUUUCUAACAACAGGCGUGGCAAGCGUGGGCGUACCAAUUCUAACAUUGGUUUUAGAUUAUGCUUGUUUCAAAGCCAUUUUUUAGUGCUUGUUUCCCCUGGCUUUCUUGGGAGAAUAUCAAGAUUAAGUGGUGCUGUAAAUCAGGGCCAUGUUAGGGAUGGCAGGGGACGGAUUUCAAUAGGGUAUUCGAUGUGAUCAUACUCGAUUAAUGUAAUUUUUUAUAAUUAUAAUUGAAACAGAUUGGAGGAAUGCAGUUAAUUGGAUAUUGAACCUCGACAGUAGAUUAUGGAAAUGGUGGAAGACAUUUCAGCAGGUGGAUUCUUUAAAGGAGGUGAUAGGCAGUGUAUUAUUCUGUGAGUGCUGAUUUUUUGGCAAAGGAAGGUGCAAGGAAAGAGAGUUUUUAUUGGGUAGGAAUUCAUGGUGACAAAGUAAUAUGACUUUAUAGAUAUGGAGUGGGACUUAGUCUUUAGAAUUAAGAUAGAGAUGUAAU
RNAcentral lists this long non-coding RNA (1381 nucleotides) under Theobroma cacao (cacao). RNAcentral describes it as "long non-coding RNA (TCAC_LNC004191)". Lineage: Eukaryota; Viridiplantae; Streptophyta; Magnoliopsida; Malvales; Malvaceae. The record is from RNAcentral.